Molecule: transfer RNA, 72 nt
Filed under: Bos taurus (domestic cattle)
Lineage: Eukaryota; Metazoa; Chordata; Mammalia; Artiodactyla; Bovidae
Also listed under: 3 other names
Rfam family: tRNA
About the family: Transfer RNA (tRNA) molecules are approximately 80 nucleotides in length. Their secondary structure includes four short double-helical elements and three loops (D, anti-codon, and T loops).
Source: Rfam by way of RNAcentral
UCAUAGUUGGUUCAGGUGGUUAAGAAUCUGCCUGCAAUGCAGGAAACCUGGGUUCAAUCCCUGGAUUGGGAA